This 179-nucleotide unclassified non-coding RNA is filed under the name uncultured Saccharomycetales. RNAcentral's name for it is "sequence contains ITS1". The record is from RNAcentral. Lineage: Eukaryota; Fungi; Ascomycota; Saccharomycetes.
CCGAGUUAGGGUCGUUCUGGCCCGACCUCCCACCCUUUGUUUAUUAUACCCAUGUUGCUUUGGCGGGCCUGCCUUUCGGGGCUGCCGGGGGCAUCACCGCCCCUGACUUGUGCCCGCCAGGAGCCUUUUUAAAUUCUGUGUUCAACUGUGCAGUCUGAGUCCCAAUAUCAAAAUAUACA